UGAAGUUUUUGCUCUGGAAACUGGGCCACCCUGUAAUUAUUCAGGAAAUACCACAUUAUGUCUAUUUGCAUUUCUACUGUUGGUUUGGGAUAUUUGUAAAGUUACAGGCAGAACAUCCUAAUUUCCAUUUGAUUAAAAUCAUAACCGGAAUAUAAUUGUUAGUAAUAAAUAAAUUAAAAAUG
Dendroctonus ponderosae (mountain pine beetle) is the source of this 182-nucleotide long non-coding RNA. RefSeq lists it as uncharacterized. The transcript has 2 exons. The record is from RefSeq and is a predicted model, not a curated record. NCBI's taxonomy places the organism in Eukaryota, Metazoa, Arthropoda, Insecta, Coleoptera, Curculionidae.